RNAcentral lists this ribosomal RNA (499 nucleotides) under uncultured microorganism. RNAcentral's name for it is "bacterial SSU rRNA". It matches the Rfam family "Archaeal small subunit ribosomal RNA", at positions 234 to 734 of the family's 1478-position model. The record is from RNAcentral.
UGGUGGGGUAACGGCCCACCAAGCCUAAGAUCCAUACGGGCCAUGGGAGUGGGAGCCCGGAGAUGGACCCUGAGACAAGGGUCCAGGCCCUACGGGGCGCAGCAGGCGCGAAACCUCCGCAAUGCGGGAAACCGCGACGGGGUCAGCCGGAGUGCCGAUGCUUGCAUCGGCUGUCGGGGAGCCUAAAAAGCUCCCCAUAGCAAGGGCCGGGCAAGGCCGGUGGCAGCCGCCGCGGUAAUACCGGCGGCCCGAGUGGCGGCCACUAUUAUUGGGCUUAAAGCGUCCGUAGCCGGGUUGGUUAGUCUCCCGGGAAAUCUGGCCGCUUAACGGUCAGAAUUCCGGGAGAUACUGCCAGCCUAGGGACCGGGAGAGGCCGAGGGUAUUCCCGGGGUAGGGGUGAAAUCCUAUAAUCCCGGGAGGACCACCUGUGGCGAAGGCGCUCGGCUGGAACGGGUCCGACGGUGAGGGACGAAGGCCAGGGGAGCAAACCGGAUUAGAU